CAAAACCACAGUUCCUUUUGC
Molecule: microRNA, 21 nt
Filed under: Macaca mulatta (Rhesus monkey)
Lineage: Eukaryota; Metazoa; Chordata; Mammalia; Primates; Cercopithecidae
Description: mml-miR-548f
Gene: mml-miR-548f
Source: miRBase by way of RNAcentral